RNAcentral lists this ribosomal RNA (460 nucleotides) under uncultured bacterium. RNAcentral's name for it is "partial 16S ribosomal RNA". It matches the Rfam family "Bacterial small subunit ribosomal RNA", at positions 338 to 795 of the family's 1533-position model. The record is from RNAcentral.
CCUACGGGAGGCAGCAGUGAGGAAUAUUGGUCAAUGGCCGUAAGGCUGAACCAGCCAAGUCGCGUGAGGGAAGAAGGCCCUAUGGUUUGUAAACUUCUUUUAUAGGGGAAUAAAGGUAUCCACGUGUGGAUCUUUUCAUGUACCCUAUGAAUAAGCAUCGGCUAAAUCCGUGCCAGCAGCCGCGGUAAUUCGGAAGACGCGAGUGUUCUACGGCUUUAUUGGGUUUAAAGGGUGCGUAGGUUGUUUUUGAAGUCAGCGGUGAAAGUUUGUGGCUCAACCAUAAAAUUGCCGUUGAAACUGGAAGACUUGAGUGUGUUUGAGGUAGGCGGAAUGCGUGGUGUAGCGGUGAAAUGCAGAGAUAUCACGCAGAACUCCGAUUGCGAAGGCAGCUUACUGAGCCAUAACUGACACUGAAGCACGAAAGCGUGGGGAUCAAACAGGAUUAGAUACCCGUGUAGUC